GAUGGACGCUGGCGGCGUGCCUAGUACAUGCAAGUCGAGCGAACGGACGAGAAGCUUGCUUCUCUGAUGUUAGCGGCGGACGGGUGAGUAACACGUGGAUAACCUACCUAUAAGACUGGGAUAACUUCGGGAAACCGGAGCUAAUACCGGAUAAUAUUUUGAACCGCAUGGUUCAAAAGUGAAAGACGGUCUUGCUGUCACUUAUAGAUGGAUCCGCGCUGCAUUAGCUAGUUGGUAAGGUAACGGCUUACCAAGGCAACGAUGCAUAGCCGACCUGAGAGGGUGAUCGGCCACACUGGAACUGAGACACGGUCCAGACUCCUACGGGAGGCAGCAGUAGGGAAUCUUCCGCAAUGGGCGAAAGCCUGACGGAGCAACGCCGCGUGAGUGAUGAAGGUCUUCGGAUCGUAAAACUCUGUUAUUAGGGAAGAACAUAUGUGUAAGUAACUGCGCACAUCUUGACGGUACCUAAUCAGAAAGCCACGGCUAACUACGUG
RNAcentral lists this ribosomal RNA (497 nucleotides) under uncultured bacterium. RNAcentral's name for it is "partial 16S ribosomal RNA". It matches the Rfam family "Bacterial small subunit ribosomal RNA", at positions 28 to 507 of the family's 1533-position model. The record is from RNAcentral.